GUACAGCGAUGUAUGGAGCGGACUAGUACUAAUCGGUCGAGGACUUAACCAAA
RNAcentral lists this ribosomal RNA (53 nucleotides) under Latilactobacillus sakei. RNAcentral's name for it is "Lactobacillus sakei partial 23S ribosomal RNA". Lineage: Bacteria; Bacillati; Bacillota; Bacilli; Lactobacillales; Lactobacillaceae. The record is from RNAcentral.